CUUGCUAGAUUGAUGGCGAGUGGCGAACGGGUGAGUAAUACAUCGGAACGUGCCCUGUAGUGGGGGAUAACUAGUCGAAAGAUUAGCUAAUACCGCAUACGACCUGAGGGUGAAAGUGGGGGACCGCAAGGCCUCAUGCUAUAGGAGCGGCCGAUGUCUGAUUAGCUAGUUGGUGGGGUAAAGGCCCACCAAGGCGACGAUCAGUAGCUGGUCUGAGAGGACGAUCAGCCACACUGGGACUGAGACACGGCCCAGACUCCUACGGGAGGCAGCAGUGGGGAAUUUUGGACAAUGGGCGAAAGCCUGAUCCAGCAAUGCCGCGUGUGUGAAGAAGGCCUUCGGGUUGUAAAGCACUUUUGUCCGGAAAGAAAUGGCUCUGGUUAAUACCUGGGGUCGAUGACGGUACCGGAAGAAUAAGGACCGGCUAACUACGUGCCAGCAGCCGCGGUAAUACGUAGGGUCCAAGCGUUAAUCGGAAUUACUGGGCGUAAAGCGUGCGCAGGCGGUUGUGCAAGACCGAUGUGAAAUCCCCGAGCUUUAACUUGGGAAUUGCAUUGGUGACUGCACGGCUAGAGUGUGUCAGAGGGGGGUAGAAUUCCACGUGUAGCAGUGAAAUGCGUAGAGAUGUGGAGGAAUACCGAUGGCGAAGGGCAGCCCCCUGGGAUAACACUGACGCUCAUGCACGAAAGCGUGGGGAGCAAACAGGAUUAGAUACCCUGGUAGUCCACGCCCUAAACGAUGUCAACUAGUUGUUGGGGAUUCAUUUCCUUAGUAACGUAGCUAACGCGUGAAGUUGACCGCCUGGGGAGUACGGUCGCAAGAUUAAAACUCAAAGGAAUUGACGGGGACCCGCACAAGCGGUGGAUGAUGUGGAUUAAUUCAAUGCAACGCGAAAAACCUUACCUACCCUUGACAUGCCACUAACGAAGCAGAGAUGCAUUAGGUGCUCGAAAGAGAAAGUGGACACAGGUGCUGCAUGGCUGUCGUCAGCUCGUGUCGUGAGAUGUUGGGUUAAGUCCCGCAACGAGCGCAACCCUUGUCUCUAGUUGCUACGAAAGGGCACUCUAGAGAGACUGCCGGUGACAAACCGGAGGAAGGCGAGGAUGACGUCAAGUCCUCAUGGCCCUUAUGGGUAGGGCUUCACACGUCAUACAAUGGUGCAUACAGAGGGUUGCCAAGCCGCGAGGUGGAGCUAAUCCCAGAAAAUGCAUCGUAGUCCGGAUCGUAGUCUGCAACUCGACUACGUGGAGCUGGAAUCGCUAGUAAUCGCGGAUCAGC
Molecule: ribosomal RNA, 1278 nt
Filed under: uncultured Ralstonia sp.
Lineage: Bacteria; Pseudomonadati; Pseudomonadota; Betaproteobacteria; Burkholderiales; Burkholderiaceae
Description: bacterial SSU rRNA
Rfam family: Bacterial small subunit ribosomal RNA
Source: RNAcentral